RNAcentral lists this ribosomal RNA (467 nucleotides) under uncultured bacterium. RNAcentral describes it as "bacterial SSU rRNA". It matches the Rfam family "Bacterial small subunit ribosomal RNA", at positions 355 to 835 of the family's 1533-position model. The record is from RNAcentral.
UGGGGAAUCUUGGACAAUGGGGGCAACCCUGAUCCAGCCAUGCCGCGUGAGUGAUGAAGGCCUUAGGGUCGUAAAGCUCUUUCGCCUGUGAAGAUAAUGACGGUAGCAGGUAAAGAAACCCCGGCUAACUCCGUGCCAGCAGCCGCGGUAAUACGGAGGGGGUUAGCGUUAUUCGGAUUUAUUGGGCGUAAAGGGCGCGUAGGCGGCUUGAUAAGUCAAAGGUGAAAUCCCUCGGCUCAACCGGGGGAACUGCCUUUGAAACUGUCUGGCUAGAGUUCGGGAGAGGGUAGGGGGAAUUCCUAGUGUAGCGGUGAAAUGCGUAGAUAUUAGGAGGAACACCAGUGGCGAAGGCGCCUACCUGGACCGAUACUGACGCUGAGGUGCGAAAGCGUGGGGAAGCAAACAGGAUUAGAUACCCUGGUAGUCCACGCUGUAAAACGAUGGUCACUCGGUGCUGCGGGUAUCGA